Molecule: ribosomal RNA, 468 nt
Filed under: uncultured bacterium
Lineage: Bacteria
Description: partial 16S ribosomal RNA
Rfam family: Bacterial small subunit ribosomal RNA
Source: RNAcentral
GACGAACGCUGGCGGCGUGCUUAACACAUGCGAGUCGAACGGAAAGGCCCUGCUUUUGUGGGGUGCUCGAGUGGCGAACGGGUGAGUAACACGUGAGUAACCUGCCCUUGACUUUGGGAUAACUUCAGGAAACUGGGGCUAAUACCGGAUAGGAGCUCCUGCCGCAUGGUGGGGGUUGGAAAGUUUCGGCGGUUGGGGAUGGACUCGCGGCUUAUCAGCUUGUUGGUGGGGUAGUGGCUUACCAAGGCUUUGACGGGUAGCCGGCCUGAGAGGGUGACCGGCCACAUUGGGACUGAGAUACGGCCCAGCCUCCUACGGGAGGCAGCAGUGGGGAAUAUUGCACAAUGGGCGGAAGCCUGAUGCAGCAACGCCGCGUGCGGGAUGACGGCCUUCGGGUUGUAAACCGCUUUCGCCUGUGACGAAGCGUGAGUGACGGUAAUGGGUAAAGAAGCACCGGCUAACUACGUG